RNAcentral lists this ribosomal RNA (440 nucleotides) under uncultured bacterium. Its description in RNAcentral is "partial 16S ribosomal RNA". It matches the Rfam family "Bacterial small subunit ribosomal RNA", at positions 339 to 795 of the family's 1533-position model. The record is from RNAcentral.
CUACGGGUCGCUCCAGUGAGGAAUAUUGCACAAUGGGGGGAACCCUGAUGCAGCAACGCCGCGUGGAGGAUGACGCAUUUCGGUGUGUAAACUCCUUUUAUAUGUCAAGAAAAUGACGGUAGCAUAUGAAUAAGCACCGUGCUAACUCCGUGCCAGCAGCCGCGGUAAUACGGAGGGUGCAAGCGUUACUCGGAAUCACUGGGCGUAAAGGACGCGUAGGCGGGUUGGAAAGUCAGGUGUGAAAUCCUACAGCGUAACUGUAGAACUGCACUUGAAACUUCUAAUCUAGAGUAUGGGAGGGGGAGAGUGAAUUAGUGGUGUAGGGUUAAAAUCCGUAGAUAUCACUAGGAAUACCUAAAGCGAAGGCGAUCUCCUGGAACAUUACUGACGCUAAGGCGUGAAAGCGUGGGGAGCAAACAGGAUUAGAUACCCGGGUAGUC